UGAAUACGAGACGCUACGGCGUCGAAGCAGUCUAUGUCAUACUUCCAAGAAAAGCUUGCACUGUCAUAAACAAAUAAUGCCUGUACCAUAACCGACACAGGUGGGUAGGUAGAGUAUACUAAGGGGCGCGAGAUAACUCUCUCUAAGGAACUCGGCAAAAUGACUCCGUAACUUCGGGAGAAGGAGUGCCUUAUUUAUAAGGUUGCAAUAACAAGAUCCAAGCAACUGUUUACCAAAAACACAGGUCUCCGCUAAGUCGUAAGACGAUGUAUGGGGGCUGACGCCUGCCCAGUGCCAGAAGGUUAAAGAAGUCGGUUAGCAUUAGCGAAGCUGGUAACUGAAGCCCUGGUGAACGGCGGCCGUAACAAUAACGGUCCUAAGGUAGCGAAAUUCCUUGUCGGGUAAGUUCCGACCCGCACGAAAGGCGUAAUGAUUUGGAUACUGUCUCAGAGAGGGACUCGGUGAAAUAGACUUGUCUGUGAAGAUGCGGACUACCUGCACCAGGACAGAAAGACCCUAUGAAGCUUUACUGUAACUUGAAAUUGAAAUUGGACUUUGUUUGCGCAGUAUAGGUGGGAGGUAUUGAGAAUAUUCUUGCGGGAAUGUUGGAGCCAUCAGUGAGAUACCACUCUUGUAAUGUUAGAUUUCUAACUUUGUAUCAUUAUCUGGUCAAAGGACAGUUUCAGGCGGGCAGUUUGACUGGGGCGGUCGCCUCCUAAACGGUAACGGAGGCGCACAAAGGUUUCCUCUGAACGGGUAGAAAUCGUAUCUAGAAUGUAAAGGCAUAAUGAAGCUUGACUGUGAGACCUACAAGUCGAGCAGGGACGAAAGUCGGUCUUAGUGAUCUGACGGUGCUGAGUGGAAAGGCCGUCACUCAACGGAUAAAAGUUACUCUAAGGAUAACAGGCUGAUCUCCCCCAAGAGUUCACAUCGACGGGGAGGUUUGGCACCUCGAUGUCGGCUCAUCGCAUCCUGGGGCGGUAGUACGUCCCAAGGGUUGGGCUGUUCGCCCAUGAAAGCGGUACGCGAGCUGGGUUCAGAACGUCGUGAGACAGUUCGGUCCAUAUCCGGUGUAGGCGUUAGAAUAUUGAGAGGAGCCUUCUUUAGUACGAGAGGACCGAGAAGGACAUACCUCUGGUGUACCAGUUAUCGUGCCAACGGUAAACUCUGGGUAGCUAUGUAUGGAGAGGAUAACCGCUGAAAGCAUCUAAGUGGGAAGCCCACCUCAAGAUAAGUAUUCUCU
RNAcentral lists this ribosomal RNA (1243 nucleotides) under metagenome. RNAcentral describes it as "bacterial LSU rRNA". It matches the Rfam family "Bacterial large subunit ribosomal RNA", at positions 1564 to 2816 of the family's 2925-position model. The record is from RNAcentral.